This 186-nucleotide small nuclear RNA is filed under the name Vulpes vulpes (red fox). Its description in RNAcentral is "U2 spliceosomal RNA (ENSVVUG00000001476.1)". It matches the Rfam family "U2 spliceosomal RNA". Rfam says of the family: U2 is a small nuclear RNA (snRNA) component of the spliceosome (involved in pre-mRNA splicing). Lineage: Eukaryota; Metazoa; Chordata; Mammalia; Carnivora; Canidae. The record is from Rfam by way of RNAcentral.
AUCACUUUUUGGCAUUUUGGCUAAGAUCAAAUGUAAUAUUUGUUCUUAUCGUUUAAUAUCUGAUAGGUCUUCUGAGGACAAUAUAUUAAGUGGAUUUUUGGAGCAGGGAGAUGGAAUAGGAGAUUACUAUGUUCACUUGAUGACUUGAUCUGGUAUUGCAGUACCUUCGGGAACAGCGCACUCCCU